GUCAGAACUGUGAAAAAUUUACUAAACUACUGCAGAACAUAGUUAACUGAGAAAGUUAGCCUUAAAAAAAUAAAAAUAGGAUUAGUAAUCUGUUCCAACUCACCAUCGGAUGUCGAUAUAAUCUUUAUUGUCUUAGGGUACUCAGCUGCAGCGGACAGGAGAACAACAGUGUUGUUUCAGCUCCUUUGAGUUUCCCAACAGAUCUAACCAAACCUGAUCCUAAAUUUUUCUAUCAGCUGUAAGUUCUAACGUAGAAAAUAAUGUUACAUAGUACUGAAUAAUUGUACCUCUCGUUCGAUAAAAAUUAUGUUCACAUUUUUCAUCUUGUGAAAUAUUUAACAUAACAUUUUUAAUUGGCCUUUUGCGGGAGUGACGUUGCGAGAACAUUUGGAUUUGGCUACAGCCGAAAUUGGCUAAACUGAAAUUUUGGUUUGACUUAAAUUAGAUGUCACUGCAGGUAAACAAAGUUAUAUUCGUGCUGCAUGGGAAUUGGAGGAAAAUAGAUGUGGAUGUGUCGGUGAGAGGAAAACAAAAAUAAAAAAUAAAUAUCAAACAAUGUCACAGUAAAAAGAGUGUAGGGAAAAUUAUUAAAAUAAAUUAAACUGGGAGAAAUAAUCCUUUUUUUUUUUAGGGACUAAUGCAUGGCCAUGAGCUCUGCUGGAAACACCCAUAAAAUCGCUUUACAUUCAUCAGGUACAUUACAAAAGAGCCUCAUCAAUGGUUAGUCAUGCUGGAUAAUGAGAACAUAACAAUAAUCUGUCUCCCUAGUUUGGUUGGGUAAAAGGGAAAGAGGUGUUUAUAUGUCUGAUGUUUUAUAGGAACCAGUGUAUCACAAGAGGUAGGACGACAAUUGGCUAAAGGAAAAAAGUCUUUAAGUUUAUCAUCACAGGAUGGCAUGGUAAAUAAAUAAAUAAAUAAACAAACAAACAAACAAAUAAAUAAAUAAAUAAAAAUAAGAGAGAAAAAGGAAAAUUAAUUAAAUGAAACGUAAUAGUACUAAAAUGUUAAACUGUUCUAAAUCUGUCAUGGAAUCAGUGCCACUGGAAAAAGGAGUAGGUAAAAAGAGGAUAGGGGAGUAUCUCUUAGCACAAAUCACGUUAUUGAUUCAGCAAUGCAGCUGAAUUUCAGGUGCUUUAAGGAUGAUGCUAAUUUGUGUUAUAGAUGGAGAAGUAGAACAGAAACACACAUCUAAACGAGUAGAUAAGGGAAAUUACUGACAAUACUAGGGUUUUAGGAUGUUUGGCUUUAAGUAAUUCGUGGUUUGACAAGCAAAUAUAUACAAACAACCCGGUAACUGCAGUUUCGUUAUUUAUGAAUUAACCUUAAGUAGUGAAUUAAUUCUUAGGAUUUCUUGUGCUAGUGAGGUUCUUAAAGGAAAAAGGAAAGAAAAUAAGAAAGAAGGUUCAUAAUUGGGGUGAAUAUUAAGGGACAUUGGAAAACCUGAAACUAUUUUGUUGAAUUGAUAGUAAAGUGGUUGUCCUAAUUUUUAAUUGGAGAGAUCACACCGCAACAUGAGUUCAGAACAGUAGUUAUGGGAAGUUUUGUUGGAUUAAUUUGAUCACACGCUUUAGGUCUUAUUCUUUUCUUUCCACUGAUUUAGUGUUCGGUUCAUUUAAACCAAGCGGAAACACAGACUUGAGAGAAUAAGUAGUUUAGUUGUGCGUGUCCCGCUCUUGCAGUUUGAGCAUUUUUCCAGAAAUAAUCUAGAUGUUUAAGAAGUGGAAGGAAGCUCUUGAUGAAAUUACUAACAUGCAUGCCUACUUAAAUGAGGAAUUUCACACUUUCGCUUCAGUCUGACAUUUGCUUGGUGUGUGAGGGCACAGAGACGUGUAUGGACCGUGUGUUUGACUGUGUUUGUUUUGUUUGUUUGUUCAUUUAUUUAUAUGGGCAUGGCCGAGCCUUGAGAAACAUCAACAAAGCCAUUGGACUAUUCUGAGUAAAUUAACCAAUUUAAAUUCAAAUUCAGGAUCCUGAAACAAUUCGGUUAUAAUCUCUAAUUGGUGAAGACCAUCUUAAGAAUUCAUUGUACAAGGCAUCAUCUCCAGUGUUACUGGAACUGUUUUGAAACCCAUGCAUGGUUGUAUAUUUUAGUUAAAUCAUUUAGACUCAUUAAAUUAUUGUUGUUUGCUUUAUGUUUUAAUCUCUUUGCAAUUUUUCUCUGUGACACAGGUGAAGAUGCUGGUGGCAAAGUGGAUCCCACUCAUUUCUUCUUCCCACACACAUUCUUACUCUCUCUCUCUGUGUAUGUGCAUGUAUAUGUGUUUGUGUGUCCAUGUGUGUCCAUGUCGUGAUGUCACUGUACCUCUAAUUGCGCUUGCUGUUUGUAACUGUAUGUGUCUGAUGUUGAAGGUAUCAGAGGCUAGGGUCAGUAAGAGUUAGGACAUUUUUGUGCAUAACCUUUAAUCCCUAGGCGAUCGGUUCGGGGGACGUCUGGUCCGGCCGGAGUGCGAGUCUUCCUGGUGUUGCACAGUGACCAAGGGAGAGGAUGGAAAAAGAUGAAGAUUGGACUCUCAUGAACUCACGUCGAUACCUGAGACGAAGACUAACGGAUAGUGUUGCUUCUCGCCUUACUGGGACUAGAUUGACUAACAUAAGAAGAAGUUUGCUUACUUUUGUUCCAGUUUUACGACUUUGAAUUAGUUCCUGAGUAGUACUGGUAUUGUUUUAAUGGUCCGAGGGGAGGUUACUGCAAAUGGGGUCGUAGUUUUAAGGUGUACGUAAAGCUUUUGGGUGGGCCAGAAGGGCCAGGGAGAUCUGAGAUUAUGAAGAGAUAAAUCCUAACAGAAUAUAGCAUGUGUGUGUUCCAGGUAAACUACCAAUAAUGAGCCCAGAACUGACACGUUUCUGGUUAGUGCUUAGAGCACGUUAAUGACAAAGUUAUAGAUCAUAAUGCUACAGGUUAAUUCCUCGUAUGCAGAGGAUUCCGAAUUACAGAUGAUAGGCGACUCAACGUGAGUUUACCGUAUAAUCUUAGGUUUCACAUCAUUUUUGUUCCCGUUUGUGUCAAAAUUCUUUAACUUAAUGUGAUAACGUAACCAUGACUGUUACUACUCCGUUUCAGGUGCAACAGAUCUUCUGGUGGGUGCUGGAUGUCAUGUUUUGACUAGUGUUUUCUUAUUGUGAUGGAUUAGCAUGUGUUCGUUUUUGAGGGUGUGUGGAUGUUGCAUGAAGGGUUUUGAAUGUGGUUUCGAAGGAUAAGGAACAGAUUAGGUGAUUCUGGUUGAGUUUAGGUCGGAUUUGCUGAAUGAUUUUUAAUUUGGUUUUAAGGACUUAUUUCUGGUCGUUUUACCGAGCGGCCAUUUACAUUACUCCUGGUUAUCGAGACAAUCAUGUGAGUUUUGCUCUUACCGUUAACCCAUAAAUGCUUGAGUAAAUCAUUGCAUGCCUUACUACCAAAUUAGCCCUUUAAUUUAGGAUAGUGGGUAGGAUAGAAAGGGGGUGUGAAUGUGCGGAUGGAUGCUUUGUCUAUGGGUCUAAAGUUUAGAAAGUUUUUGUGGUAAUAGGUUUAUAGGCAAUUGGCGUGCUAAUUCAAGUUUUUCUUGUUGACAUGUUGUGUUUUGCUUGCUGUGGGGAGGAUGAGGUCGGCACCACCACGCUGCACGCAGAUGGACAAAGGGAGGACUGAGCCAAGAACUUAUGCCUUUGCUUUGCUGACAAAUAAAGGACACUUGUCCACAUAAAGCCCUCCUCAAGCAGAAGACCUCCAAUGACGACAUGGAUGCUGAACUUGUAUUUUCCGUUUUAUUCUUUUGAAUUAAAUCUUCAACCGGAUUUAUUACUGUUUCAUUAUGUCUUCGCUAAAGCUAAUUGUUCAUUAUUCAUCAUAUUUGUCACCUGUUUAUCUUCAUGUGCCUUUGUUGUUUUGUGUGUUCUUUCUUUUGACCACUGAUGAGGAUAUUUGUCACCUGAUGUCCUCAAGCUAGUCCUCGCAUGCCAGCUCUGUGCUCCGGCGUUCGUCCCCUUGGGUUGGGGAGGACAUGGGAGAAUUUUCCCUGUUAAAGUACAGCGGACAGGGUUUUUCGCCCCCGUAUGGGGUGCGCAUGCAAUACAUUUGUGAAGUAAUGAGUUCAGUUAAUGCUAAAAUCAUGUUUCAUGUAUUGUUUCACAGUUUUUCAUUGUCUCAGCUGUAAACUCAUCGGUUGUUUUUCAGUUACUUAAUCAUUGUUCAUUACAUAUACAAGUUGAAGUUGCUGUGUUAUUCUGGAACAUCAUCUCGUGUUUUGGUAUGGGUACUUUAUGCAUUUUUGAUUCAAGAUCAUAUGUUAUACCCUUUUGUUUCCAUUUUUUGUUAUUUUGUUAGAUUAUCUUUAUUUGCUGCUCAUUUCUUCUGUUACUUAGUUAAGCAUUCAUUUAUUGAUAUACCCUACAUUGCUGAUUCGUUUACAAUGGUGGUGUGUGGCGCACAAGUCCGCCAAAGGGAGGACUGUUGUCGCCAAGAAGGUCAAGAGGUCAUCUACAACAUAUAUUGAGUUGAAUUAUGAGUCCUUAGGUUAAAAGCUUACUGAGAAAGCUGUGUUCUGUGUACGUGAGGUUUAACAUGUCCAGCUUGUGUGGGCCAGCUCCAGUGGACCUUGAGCCCUUGGAUCAUGUCGGGAUAACAGGGCUGGUUGACCUCUGGGCUGGAGGGUGCGUCGACCAUUUGGAAGUGUAAAUAUCACCCCAUCCUCUCUCCACAUUUGUCAAGGGACUGUGGGAGUGGCCCAGGGACAGAGGGUAUGAAUUUGGGACUCCACAUGUGGUCGAGGUCUUUUGUAGUUGGCUGUCCUGAGAUGUGAGAUGAAUGAGUAAAGAGACCCGCGCUGUCUGACUGAGCUGCCCGUCUCCGACUGCUUCUUUAAGAAUAACAGAGAAACCCCACAGUAUGAUUUCCAGCAUGUCGUCUACAUAGUGUUUCCAUAAUUUUAUUUUGCAGUCUGGGGGGGCCAGUGGUUAUGGCUUUUUGUUCUAGGUCUUUCAUGAAAAACUCGCACUUGGUGGCUGAUAACGGGUUGCCCAUGGCGAAGCCUUCCAGUUGUUUGUAUCUUGUGUCAUCGUAUGUGAAGUAAGUGGAGUUAGCUACCAGUCCUAUCAGUUCUGCUAUGUCAUCUGCUGUGAGGUUUGUUCUUUUCUGUAAAUUCUUGUCCUCUCUGAUUCUAUUAACUACUAUGUCUAUGUUUUUUUUGGGUCGGUGUUUUUGUGAACAGGGAUGUGGCAUAAUGUGAGAUGAGGAUGUUGUUAUCUUCUAUUGUAAUCUUUUUUAGUUCUUUUGCCAGUUCUAUGCUAUUUUUGCAAUGUUGAUCUGUGUUACCUAACAACGGGCUGAUUAUUUUGCUGAUUUCUCUUGCCAUGUUGUAUGUUGGUGUAUCUAUGCUGUCUACUAUUGGUCUAAGUGGAUGUUUUGUUUGUGUAUUUUUGGAGUUCCGUAGAUUCUUGGUGUUAUGUUUGCUGUCGGAAUCCAGAGUUUGUACAUUUUUCUGUUAUUUAGCCUUUUUUCUUGUAGUGGCUCCAGUAAUUUUUUCAUGUUUUUCUUAAUGUUUUCCGUUGGGCCUUUUAAAGUAUUUUGUAUGUAUUUUUGUCCUCCUGCAUCUGUUUCAUCUGUUGUUUAUAUUUUUCUUUGUCCAUUACCACUGUGGUUCUUCCUUUGUCUGAUGGUAGAAUGAUUAUCUGUUCAUUUUUGGAUAAAGCUGUCAUGGCUGAUUGUUCUUCUUUUGUAAUAUUGCUGUGUUGAAUUUGGCUGUUCUUUAAUAUCCCAAUAACAUUAUUUCUAAGUUC
Nothobranchius furzeri (turquoise killifish) is the source of this 5751-nucleotide long non-coding RNA. RefSeq lists it as uncharacterized. NCBI's taxonomy places the organism in Eukaryota, Metazoa, Chordata, Actinopteri, Cyprinodontiformes, Nothobranchiidae. The record is from RefSeq and is a predicted model, not a curated record.